This 4804-nucleotide long non-coding RNA is filed under the name Solanum tuberosum (potato). Its description in RNAcentral is "long non-coding RNA (STUB_LNC010845)". The record is from RNAcentral. Lineage: Eukaryota; Viridiplantae; Streptophyta; Magnoliopsida; Solanales; Solanaceae.
ACAUCCCAUAAUUGAUGUUAGUUUCAAUAUUUGCUCAACACCUUAAAAAAAACUUAGGAAAUAUAUCCUGAGCUAGACUAUGAUAUAUCAAGUUCUUGUUCAUCGUCUAAACUUGCAUCUUCACUUGUAAAACUUUAUUCUUCAAAAUCUGCAAGUACAAAAUUUUGAAAAGAGGGUAAAACAACUAUUGGUAUAAUACAAAAAACAACAACAUAUUAUGGUAAUGGAAUAUUUGUCAAGGAUUCUAAACAACAUUAGUGCUUUACCCGAUUUCAAAUUCCAUCCAAAUUCUGGAAAAAAACUACAUUCGCACUUGGUAUUCUCCCUAUCAAGUACUUGGGACUGCCACUUACCUCAAAAAAGUGGACAAAGAUGGAUUUACAACAACUAGUAAAUAAAAUUAUAGCAAGAAUGCAAGCUGCUUCUGCUAAGCAUUUGUUUUAAGUAGUUAUGGCAGUGCUUUUUUCCAUUCAUAAUUAUUGAGGAGCAGUUUUUAUCUUACCUCAAUGUGUUUUAAAGGAGAUUGAUAGGAAGUGUAGGGAGUUCUUAUGGAAUGCAACUGUGGAGGAGGCUAGAAAGGGAUUUAUCACACGGCUGGCAUGUCAAAGGAGGCUACUCACUCGUGAGGGAUUGCUAAAAAUAAGAAUUUUAGUGGAGGAUCGAAAUUGUUGUUUGUGUGAGAAGAGGGUACUGGAGACACAACAACACUUGUUUAUGGAUUGUAGGUGGAUUAAUGGUGCGAAAAUCAUGAUGUGUACACGGCUAGGUGUUCAAUUACCAUGCAGAGGAGUUUACAAAACAAUUAAAUGGAUCAAAAGGAGAAGGUGGAAGCAGUUUCAAAAGGAAGUUAUUGCAGCAGCCUGGGGUGCAUUGGUCUACGACACCUGGAUAGCUAGUCACAAGAGAGUUUUUAAUCACCAGAAUGUAAAUGUUUAAUUUGUUACUGCACAAAUACAAAAGGAACUAAGAGAAAGAAUAGAUAUGUUUCAGGUGUCAAGAAAAGCACAUAAAUGUCAUAGUUUUAUACAACUAAUUUGUAACUAGUUUUUCUGGAGAUCUAGUGGUUUUAAGACACCCUUCCUAGAAGUUGGUUGAGGAACUCUAGAUGCUCAUUAGGCUGUACUCUUUUUCUUGUUAUGGUAAUAUUUCAUAUGUGUUACCAAAUAACAACAACAUAUAUACCUAGUUGGACAUAUUAUAGAAAACACCCAACAUCCACUUCAGAACAUAUUUUUCUUUUGAAGGGUACAGAACAGUGCAAGAAUCAUAUAACGGCAGUGUAUAAAACAUCCUCUACCAAACAGAAACUGAGCAUCCAAAUUACAACUCCCAUGGUGCAAACUAUGGCAUAUUAACAUGGAAGUACUCAUGAUUCUAGACUAAAAAUACAACAAACUAGUACCUGUUAAUUUAUAGUCACUAUAGGAAGAAACAAUCUGCAGCAAGCUUGUAGUAGACAACCUACUAGGAGAUAACAAAUCUUAUGCACGCCUCAUUAAGAUUAAGUUCAUUUCGGACAUUAACAAGCACACCAUAUACCAACAGAAAGCUAAACUGCUUACCUCAAAAGCAAUCUGAUUUACUUCAAGUAAUGUCCAAAACAUCAACAAAGCUGUGAGAAUACAAGAACACUUAAUUAGACAAGCGUUCGAUGCAUAUACUACGAAGAACUGAAGCUUGUAACAAUGAUUGUUGCCUUACAGUUUAUUUCUUCUUCUUCAGAAAAUGCAUUCACUAUCAACCAUAAAUAUAUGCAUUAUCAAGUGAGACAAUUUAACAUAGGAAUCAAAAAAUUAAAGAAGUCAUCUACUGUAUGGCAAUCUGUCAAGUAGAUUAGGACUUUGGAUAGGAUGAUAGGUUAUCCAUAUAGCAGUACUUAUAAUCAAAUAAGCAUCCAACCUUAAACGACUUCAAAACCAAUAAUAAGAAACUCAAUACUUGAUCAUCUAACCAACAAUACAAUAGUAACAAUAUUCACAAAAGCCAGCACAGACAAACAUACAAAGUUAGAGCUUAAAAAAGACUUCUAACGUUUUUUGCCUUCUUUUUUCUUCUGAUUCAGCACUAACAAAAAUUAGUCAUACUUAAUACACACAUAUAUAGUAGAUCUCAAAGAAAUAGCUGCACAGAAGCAAUUCAUUUAUGCAUACGAGCUGCAAUGCAUCACUGGUAUAACAUGAUGAAGACCUUAGCCAUGAGGUCAUUGAAACUCAGAUCUAUGUUUUGGACAGCAACAAUUUUUAAUAGGACAACAAAUUCAAUUGCUACCUAAAAGGGCCAUAACAAGAACACUAACUAUAUGUACCUGAACCAGAAAACUAACUGUACAUUUCUAAAGUGAGAUCCUGACUAUACCUUCCUACACCCAUGUUAUUACCACUCAAUAUAGCACAGAAGCACUAUGAUAUUUAAACCAAUUUGCAUUGAUCGCGACUAAUUCUUUGCACGCCAACUAAGUAGGGUUCAUCGAGCCGAUUAUCAACAAGUUACAUCCAUUGUUUACUAGGAGCCAUAACCUUAAAAGGUACAUAAAAAUGAAGAGUUAAUUACAAUUGAUGGACAGAAUACAUUCUACUCUUUUUCCCAACUUAUAAAAGGUAAGUUUUACCAUGAUCAAGAAGGCCAAUAAAAAGAUUUAUCUUUGGAAAUAUAUCUUCUUGUUCAUAAACAAGUCAGAAUUCAGAAUGCUCUGAACAAAUGUGAUUAUGCAGAAGCUUUUUCAUAUCAAGUUCCUGUCAAUGGAAGGAAGUAUAAUGUUAUUGUUUUACUCUAAAAAGCUAAAGCGUGUGUUAAAUUGGAGGAAAGUUAAUAGGAUUAAGCCUCCAAUAGGUGUUGUUAAGGCUUACACAAAUGGCAUUUUCAAUACUAAUAAAUGAAAAGGAUGGCAUUACAGAUAUUAUAAAAAGUGUGAAUUCGGAUCUCAUUAUGACUUUCUCAAUUUCGACUUAAUGCACUAGCAAUAAUGAGCUUAUGCAUGGAAUCAGAUUAGGGAAUAAAGAACCAAGACCCUCAUCAAUUCCCAUACUUGGCUCAAACUUAUUCCUUUCAAGUGUUCUUUUCAUCUUUGGAGAACUUGAAGAGGAAAACUUCCUACUCAUGAGAAGGUCAUCAACUUUGUCAAGAAACCUUUAGACUGUUACUGCUGCUAUAAACCUGGCAGGGACACUAUAGAGCAUAUUUUCUUGACUGACAGGGACACAAUUCAUGGGCUCUUAGUUCUUCAAACAAGCAACCAGACUCGGGGUAAUCUAAACCACUGGAGUGGUUGUUAUUAAGGUAUACAACACGAUAUGACGUCUAUGGUUAUGCCCAACCAAUUUAUUGGGUGCUAAGUGGAAAACAAUAAGUGCAGAAGAGAAAAAGCCUUAUGAGGAAAAAUACCAAGCUGAGAAAGAAGUUUACUUGAAAAUCGUUGGAAUGGAGAAGUGCGAACAUGAAGCAAUGAGACUCUUGGAUGACGAGCAGAAACAAAAGACAGCUAUGGAGUUACUUGAACAAUACAUUCAAUUUCAACAAAGAUCAAUAGUGAAUGAAAACCAGAAGAAAAAGAAAGAAAAGGACCCCUUGAAACCAAAACAACCUUUAUGAGCAUUUUUCCUGUUUACAAACGACCGUCGAGCUGCUCUACUCCGGAAUAACGCAACAGUUGAAGCAAUGGAAUCGUACAAAAAGGAAAUGGAAGAAUACAAUAAAACUGCAGCUGACAAGCAGAGCAACAAUAAUUAGAAGCAAUAAGAAAUAGGUGCUUCUUAGAACAAGUUCAACUGGUUAUGUUGAACAUAGAAAAUGCCUGCUAGUUAGAGUUGAAAACUUGAAAUAGUCAUUUGAUGUCCAUGUCAUUUUUUCCUGUUGUUAGUUUAUUUCAUUUGACUUCUAAUGGAUGACUUUGGAUUUAGUCAUAUUGGCUGAGUUAAUUGUUCAAAAAUAAUUAUUACUUGUAACCAAGAAGAUGAGUCAUUCGAUUACAAGUCAUAUACACGUAUAUGUCUGCAUUUCUCAUGUAAAUGGCUAGCAAAAUCCCUACACCAAUAUUUUUUGUAUUGACUGUACAUAUGAAAUCAUUAACCUAUUUAAUGUUAAAAAAGAGGAAGAAGGAGCAACUUGAAUACACAAGAAAAAAACACCAUCAAUAUAACUUAUGGAUUUAACACAAUAACUCGAUUAGAAGAUGAACCCACCUGAAAUUUUGUCUCAAAAAAGCUGUGAUGGAAUCUGUUUCGAGCACAGCAGCAACAAAUUGAUGAAGAAGAAGAAACCUGCUGCGAUGGAAUUUGUUAUGAGCAGAGCAACAACAAAUCGAUGAAGAAGAAGAAACCUUUGUCGAUUUAAUCGAAGACUGAUGUUGAGAUUAGGGCAUACAUUAACAACACAUCAAAGAAGACACCUCUAUCGAUCUAUGGGUAGAGCAUUGUUCAGAUUAGGGCAGAGAAUGGUUGAGAUUAGGUAGAGCACAUUGAGUUUCAAUUAUGAGUUGAAGAAUAUCAGUGGAGAGGUUUUUUUUUUGUGUGGUGAGCUGAAGAGAUUAUAAGCGAUUAAGUCUUGUUCCUUUUCCUUUCUGUACUAUUUUUUCCGUGCACUACAUUUUUUGUAGAAAAAAAAAUUUCAUCUGGAGGAAAAAUCUCCCGCUCAAGCCUCAAUGCCUCUAAUUACAUUUUGGGACUAGUUAGUAUGUUUUUUAGGGACCGAAUUUAAUACCUUCCCUAUAAAAUAUAUCAAUAAGGACCGAAAUAUAACUCGUCCCAAUAGAUAUACUUUUAGAGACAAGAAUAUAGACUCGUCCUUAAAUGUUGGUCUUAAUUAAGGC